Molecule: ribosomal RNA, 254 nt
Filed under: uncultured bacterium
Lineage: Bacteria
Description: partial 16S ribosomal RNA
Rfam family: Bacterial small subunit ribosomal RNA
Source: RNAcentral
UACGAAGGGAGCUAGCGUUGUUCGGAAUCACUGGGCGUAAAGCGCACGUAGGCGGAUUUGUCAGUCAGGGGUGAAAUCCCGGGGCUCAACCUCGGAACUGCCUUUGAUACAGCAAGUCUUGAGUUCGAGAGAGGUGGGUGGAAUUCCUAGUGUAGAGGUGAAAUUCGUAGAUAUUAGGGAAGAACACCGGUGGCGAAGGCGGCCCACUGGCUCGAUACUGACGCUGAGGUGCGAAAGCGUGGGGAGCAAACAGG